Non-coding RNA from Podarcis muralis (Common wall lizard), 1945 nucleotides. The record is from RefSeq and is a predicted model, not a curated record. NCBI's taxonomy places the organism in Eukaryota, Metazoa, Chordata, Lepidosauria, Squamata, Lacertidae.
GGCAACGUUCCGCGGCACACUAAUGUGCCGCGGAACACCGGUUGGGAAACACUGGUAUAGAGAAAGAGCUUGCUUAAUUCCCCAUUGUUCCAAAACAAAGGUGAGCUGUUUAGGUGAGAUAUAUAUAUAUGUAUGUAUGUAUAUAUAUUUAUAAACUCUGUUUUUCUUGCGGAAAAAAGAAAAUGAAAAGUGAGAAAAAUAAUUAAUUCACAAUGAGUUGGCAGAAAUGUGCCCCCCCCCCGGUGCGGCUGCAAGCAUUUUGCGGUUGUCUUAUCUGUGUUGCUUGGCAAACCUGCAUGUACCACUGGGUAGAAAAGAACUCCAGUUACAGCAUUCAUAGUCGGGGAGCACAGGAGAAUCUGUUGGAGAUGGGAGACUGAUGGAAUGACCCUGUGAAAGCAUGGAAUACUUUGUGAAGAGCUUGUCUGAGGGAUGCUGGACAACUUGCAAGACUUCUGGGCUCAGAGAGCCAAGGCAGCUGCAGAACUUAGCAACCGGGCUUUGCACUUGCUGUGUGGACUAAGGAAGGACUUUGUAAACUAGAACCCUCUCUGGGCUCAGAGAGUAAAGCCUUGUAGCAACUGUAAAUAGUGUGGAUUAUAGCAUCUGUGCUUCUGUUUGCCAAGUAAACACCACAGUUGCUUCCUGUGGUGAGCUUAACUGCUUGACUGAAUGUCUGUGGUGCCAACAGGCCAUUCUGGGCAGCCAAGCCACAACCUGAAAGGGCAGCAAGACUUCUUAAAUGGUGGUAGAGUGGAAAACCCUUGACUGCCUUAUAUUUAUUAAAGGUGAGACAGGUUUUUAAUGUUUUAAUUAGGUUUUUUUUAAGCAUUGUUUUGUUGCUUUGUUGUUCAUUGACUGGAGCUUCUUUGGCAGGAAGGGAUGGAUAAAAAAUUGAUUGAUUGAUUUAAAAGGUAUUUAGAUUCUUGCCGUCUGAUGAAACCUCAAUGUUCUCCUGUCCUUGCUACUCACUCCUCGCCUGCCCCCGCUGAAAAUUCUUCAAUAUCUAGUGACUGACAUAACCAGUGGCUAGAAGUCAAGAAAAGAAAAACUUCCUUAGGUGGCAGGCUUCAACCUAGUUAUAACAAGCUGUAAUGAAAUAAAACAGUGAAAUCUUUGCAUUACAUUGCAAUUUCAAUCAGAUGUAACCUAAUGAGUGAGAUGAGUUCCUCGGCACCAGUGAGGAUCAGCUGAGCUUCAAUUAAUGCACUGAUUCAAUUAAAUAAAGCUUGAAACUCAGAACGUAAUCCAUGCUCAACCCUUGAGAUUGAGUGGGAAGAAAACUAAAUAAAUAGUUUGUAGCUCUUGGAAAGAAAAGUAAUUAAUUGAAUGUUAAAGGUGAUUCCUUCCUACCUUGGCUUUUCACAACUUUAAAGUUACAUUUAGUUGCAUUUGAACUAAGUAUAAUCGUGUUUCAGAUUACACAGAAAAGAAGAAGAAACAGCAAAGAUUUAUGCAAGAUGAGCUGAUUGGCCCAAUUCACACCCAUCAGUUCUACAAGGGAAAAUGAAUUGCUGUUUCAAUUGCUAUUGCCACCAGUUGAAGGAAGGAAAGCUGAGGCUUCACUUUUAAAAUAAAUAUACUGAUUCUGAUGCUUUGAAGUAAAGCCUUUCCCUACAACUGCAUAACUUUUUUUAUUUUAUUUUUUAGGAGCAAUGCCCCAGAAAAAAAAUGGAAAAGGCAACCCCCACCCCAAAUGAGGCGAGAAAUACUAACAAUUUUAAAGCUAUUAUUAAGAAGACACUUCAGCAGCUGAUGGACUUUAGAAACAGAAAGAGAACAUUGUGAAACCUGUGGGCACCAGUGCACAUCCAAACCAGAACCUCACUUCUGCCUCUCCACAUUCUUAAUGAAGGCAGGGGCUGAAAACCAUUUUUCCCAGCACAGGACAGGUUAAAAGAAGGUUAUCAGAUAUUUUUCAAAGAAUCCGGGGACACCUUUUUUU